Molecule: small nucleolar RNA, 107 nt
Organism: Gossypium arboreum
Lineage: Eukaryota; Viridiplantae; Streptophyta; Magnoliopsida; Malvales; Malvaceae
Rfam family: Plant small nucleolar RNA R71
About the family: R71 is a member of the C/D box family of snoRNAs containing the C (UGAUGA) and D (CUGA) box motifs.
Source: Rfam
AACCCAUGGUGAGGGGACUUUCUCAAUAAGUCCUUAUACCUCUCCCAUGCAUCAUAUAGAGUCUCUAAAUCCAUUUGCACGAAGGAAGAGAUAUCAUUCCUCAACUU